RNAcentral lists this ribosomal RNA (500 nucleotides) under uncultured bacterium. RNAcentral describes it as "partial 16S ribosomal RNA". It matches the Rfam family "Bacterial small subunit ribosomal RNA", at positions 30 to 523 of the family's 1533-position model. The record is from RNAcentral.
AUUGAACGCUGGCGGCGUGCCUUACACAUGCAAGUCGAACGGCAGCACGGGAGCAAUCCUGGUGGCGAGUGGCGAACGGGUGAGUAAAGUAUCGGAACGUGCCCAGUCGUGGGGGAUAACGUAGCGAAAGUUACGCUAAUACCGCAUACGAUCUAUGGAUGAAAGCGGGGGAUCGCAAGACCACGCGCGAUUGGAGCGGCCGAUAUCAGAUUAGGUAGUUGGUGGGGUAAAGGCUCACCAAGCCGACGAUCUGUAGCUGGUCUGAGAGGACGACCAGCCACACUGGGACUGAGACACGGCCCAGACUCCUACGGGAGGCAGCAGUGGGGAAUUUUGGACAAUGGGCGAAAGCCUGAUCCAGCCAUGCCGCGUGCAGGAUGAAGGCCCUCGGGUUGUAAACUGCUUUUGUACGGAACGAAAAGGUUUGGGCUAAUAAGCUGAGCUCAUGACGGUACCGUAAGAAUAAACACCGGCUAACUACGUGCCAGCCGCCGCCGUAA